GCAAGAUCCUGGAGUCCAAGGUGAAGGACUGGAAGCCCGGCGAUCUGUUCGGCGCCUGGCUGCCGUUGAUCAGCGUGCAGGCCGUGAGUUCCGCUGCGCUGAGGAGUAAUCCCUUCC
RNAcentral lists this ribosomal RNA (117 nucleotides) under Kryptoperidinium triquetrum. Its description in RNAcentral is "Heterocapsa triquetra partial Archaeal large subunit ribosomal RNA". Lineage: Eukaryota; Dinophyceae; Peridiniales; Kryptoperidiniaceae. The record is from RNAcentral.